GACGUAGGUGGCGAGCGUUGUUCGGAAUCACUGGGCAUAAAGCGCACGUAGGCGGUCUGUCGCGUCGGAUGUGAAAGUCCAGGGCUCAACCCUGGGAUGCGGAUGGAUACUGCCGGGCUCGAGUCCGGAAGAGGCGAGUGGAAUUCCCGGUGUAGCGGUGAAAUGCGCAGAUAUCGGGAGGAACACCAAUGGCGAAGGCAGCUCGCUGGGACGUGACUGACGCUGAGACGCGAAAGCGUGGGGAGCAAACAGG
RNAcentral lists this ribosomal RNA (253 nucleotides) under uncultured bacterium. RNAcentral describes it as "partial 16S ribosomal RNA". It matches the Rfam family "Bacterial small subunit ribosomal RNA", at positions 524 to 776 of the family's 1533-position model. The record is from RNAcentral.